UAAAGAAGGCAUCAAAAAUACGUUAGCAAGACUAGAGCUCACAUUUUCCAAUAAACUGUUUCUUAUUCCAUUGAAGUUUGUUCAGAAUAAUAUAUAGUACAUAAUCCUGGAGAAGAGAACCCAUUAUGACUGGUUAUGCAGAGCUAAAAAAACAUGAAAAGAAGAAAACUCAAACCUUGUUUUUUGGUCUAGAUUAGUAAUAGAAAAAGAAACAAGGGGAAAAUAUUACCAGAAAGAUUUGCACUUUUCUGUCUUUACAUGUGUCCAGAGUGUUUAGUUGUAAUGACUGAUAUUUCUUCCUCCCAAGGAUGCAACAUCAUUAUCCUUCAUGUUUAAUAGAAAGACUUUUAUAUCAUAUGGAUUCUACCCUGAGGAAUACUGCAAGCAAAGGUUAUUGAAUCUAUAGGCACACUUGAGCUGAAUGGUAUUGAUUGACAACUCCCCCCCAUCCAGAAAAGCACAUUUUAUAUUAUACUCAAAUAAUUCUAGAGGAAGUACUUGGGAUCCAUAAAAUUCCAAAUGAAGAUAGAGAAUUGAAAUAAGAACAGCAUAGAAGAUUAGAUGGAAUGAGAAAAUGUUCCACAGAUUCUUUUCCAGCAAACUCCUCUGCCCUUUGAGAAGUCAAGAAAUACAAAAUUCAUUACAAAUAUGAAGUCAAGCAAAACAAAUCUGCACAAAAGCCGUGUUUUGAAAAUAAAGCAAUAGAAGCACGAAAAGAAAAAAUAUGA
This 728-nucleotide long non-coding RNA is filed under the name Monodelphis domestica (gray short-tailed opossum). Its description in RNAcentral is "lncRNA (ENSMODG00000033424.2)". The record is from RNAcentral. Lineage: Eukaryota; Metazoa; Chordata; Mammalia; Didelphimorphia; Didelphidae.